RNA transcript from Sapajus apella (tufted capuchin), 1582 nucleotides. It is a transcript of the gene named Golgi apparatus membrane protein TVP23 homolog B pseudogene, with no coding region annotated. The transcript has a single exon. The record is from RefSeq and is a predicted model, not a curated record. NCBI's taxonomy places the organism in Eukaryota, Metazoa, Chordata, Mammalia, Primates, Cebidae.
UAAUUACUUUAACAAUUUGCUGAGGGCCGCCAUGUUGCAGCAGGAUAGUAAUGAUGACACUGAAGAUGUUUCACUGUUUGAUGCGGAAGAGGAGACAACUAAUAGACCAAGAAAAUCCAAAAUCAGAAUGUCACAGGUAGACUAAUGGUUGGCCUACGUUGGUGGAAUCACAUUGAUGAAGAUGGAAAAAGCCAUUGGGUGUCUGAAUCUAGAAAGGAGUCCUCUCAAGAGAAUAAAACUGUGUCAGAGGCUGAAUCAAGGAUCUUUCGGUUGGAACUUAUUGCCUGUCCAGUGCUGUGGGUGAUAUUUGCCUUUAGUGCCCUCUUCUCCUUCAGAAUAAAGUGGUUGGCGGUGGUUAUCAUGGGUGUGGUGCUACAGGGUGCCAACCUGUAAGGUUACAUCAGGUGUAAGGUGGGCAGCAGAAAGAAUUUAACCAGCAUGGCUACUUCAUAUCUUGGAAAGCAGUUUUUAAGACAAAACACUGAAGAUGAUCAGACUUCCUGAAGAGAGAAAGAUUAUGUGCUUUGUUACAUUGGGGAACAACCGAAGAGAUUCUUGACUCUGAACCUUUUAGAGCUUAGUCCAUAUUGCAACAAGGAGUGUUGGCUUUGUUUUUCCACUUAAAAACUUUAUUUAUAAAAAGUAGUUUUCUUAUUAAGCUUUUAUUUCCUUUCUAGCAGUUGGGGCUAGAAAGUAUAUGUUGGCUCUAGAAACGUUGUGAAGAUUUGUUCUGUGGUGUAGGUAUGCACGUGUUUCAUAGGUAUGCACGCAGCCAUGUCAUAUCAAUAUAUCCCAAGUUAGUGAAAGUGUUCAUUUACAUAGGUAAUAGAGACCUUUGUAUUUUGAUCCACAGAACACAGAAGGAUGUUUUUAGUCUGUCUGAAAGCUCUAUGUGUUUACAAAUUAUUUCUUUACAUUAUUUUCAGAAGUAAGUUUUGCUUCCAUGGUUAAGAGUGAGCACUUUGGCUUAUGUAUAAGUUAGAAAUAAUUGUUAGUUUUUAAUAUGUACUUGAAGGGGAAAUUUCUUAGACAUAUGCAAGCAAGUGAAAACAAUUAAGGCCAAUGAUAAUAACUACUUUCUAAAAUUUUAUUUUUAUUUGUAAGAAGUCAUUUACUUAAGGCCCAGUUAAUAUAAAUGGAAUCAUCAUAGUUUGUUUAAGGAAUACCCAGAGAUUGCUGCUGUUCUCUUCAUUUUGCAGAAAGGAUAGCUAGAUAGAAAACUCUUCAGUGGACCUUGAGCUAAUAAAUGUAUCUUUUACCUAAAGAGCAUUAUUCCCAUGUGAUAAUGGGAAUAAUCAUUUACAUACUUGGCAUAAUAAAUGCCUAAAAAGACAUUUUAUUUUCUGAAUCUAUUUUUUUCUUGCUAUAAUGAGGAUAUUGUAAAUUACACAUGUGUAUUAAUGGUAUUUCUUAAAGCAAUAGAUGUAACUGUAAACUAGAUGUAACUGUAAACUAAACCAGUCUACAAACUGUUGUAGGCAUCUGUAAAUUCUGUUGUAGGUACUAUAAACUUUGUUGAAGUCUUAAUCAGCAGAUUAUGUUGUGAAUAUAUUUGUACAUUUUAAAGAUAUUUUUAAGAUUA